RNAcentral lists this microRNA precursor (118 nucleotides) under Podarcis lilfordi (Lilford's wall lizard). Lineage: Eukaryota; Metazoa; Chordata; Lepidosauria; Squamata; Lacertidae. The record is from RNAcentral.
AGGUGCCUAUGGCCUGCUAUUUACGUUUUAAACAAAAAAGUAAAUAGCAGUCCAUAGGCACCUAUAGACUGCUAUUUACUUUUUUGUUUAAAACGUAAAUAGCAGCCCUGGGGCUCCA